UACAGAGGUCUCGAGCGUUAGGCGGAAUCACUGGGCUUAAAGCGUGUGUAGGCGGAUCGUUAAGUACCUUGUGAAAUCCCACGGCUUAACCGUGGAAUUGCUGGGUAUACUGGCGGUCUUGAGCCACUUAGGGGCUACCGGAACAAAUGGUGGAGCGGUGAAAUGCGUAGAUAUCAUUUGGAACGCCAAUGGUGAAAACAGGUAGCUGGGAGUGUGCUGACGCUGAGACACGAAAGCGUGGGGAGCGAACAGG
Molecule: ribosomal RNA, 253 nt
Filed under: uncultured bacterium
Lineage: Bacteria
Description: partial 16S ribosomal RNA
Rfam family: Bacterial small subunit ribosomal RNA
Source: RNAcentral